This 497-nucleotide ribosomal RNA is filed under the name uncultured bacterium. Its description in RNAcentral is "partial 16S ribosomal RNA". It matches the Rfam family "Bacterial small subunit ribosomal RNA", at positions 28 to 507 of the family's 1533-position model. The record is from RNAcentral.
GAUGAACGCUGGCGGCGUGCCUAAUACAUGCCAGUCGAGCGAACAGACGAGGAGCUUGCUCCUCUGACGUUAGCGGCGGACGGGUGAGUAACACGUGGAUAACCUACCUAUAAGACUGGGAUAACUUCGGGAAACCGGAGCUAAUACCGGAUAAUAUAUUGAACCGCAUGGUUCAAUAGUGAAAGACGGUUUUGCUGUCACUUAUAGAUGGAUCCGCGCCGCAUUAGCUAGUUGGUAAGGUAACGGCUUACCAAGGCGACGAUGCGUAGCCGACCUGAGAGGGUGAUCGGCCACACUGGAACUGAGACACGGUCCAGACUCCUACGGGAGGCAGCAGUAGGGAAUCUUCCGCAAUGGGCGAAAGCCUGACGGAGCAACGCCGCGUGAGUGAUGAAGGUCUUCGGAUCGUAAAACUCUGUUAUUAGGGAAGAACAAAUGUGUAAGUAACUAUGCACGUCUUGACGGUACCUAAUCAGAAAGUCACGGCUAACUACGUG